This is a long non-coding RNA of Rosa rugosa (rugosa rose), 710 nucleotides long. RefSeq lists it as uncharacterized. The transcript is spliced from 4 exons. The record is from RefSeq and is a predicted model, not a curated record. Lineage: Eukaryota; Viridiplantae; Streptophyta; Magnoliopsida; Rosales; Rosaceae.
ACUAUGCAUUUUGUAUGUGUUCUUCAAUUGUUUUCUUUGGUUAGUUUUCUUAUGAAACAUGUUAUGUAUAUAGAUGUCUGCAGACAUAUAUGCCUCUGAAUGAUAGCAUUUUUUGCAUUCUUGAAUUGGAUGAUGGAUGUGAAAGGGUGCUCACUGAUUUGUUGAUUUUUUUUGGGUUACCUGUGGUCAAUUGGAGAAGGAAACAAAUCUUAUCGAGGGAGUUUCAUGGUUAGAUUGUGGCCACCGUGAAAUGUAGGUUUGGUAUCCAUCUCUGAGUGUUGACCCUUUAAAGUAGGGUGAUUUCUUGUAGGUGGAGAAUCAGGAAGGAGUCGCAAACUUUGAUGAUAUCCUUGUAAAUUCAGAUGCAUUCAUGGUGGCACGAGGUGAUCUUUGAAUGGAAAUUCCAAUAGAAGAUAUUUUUUGGCUCAGAAAGUGAUGAUCUAUAAGUGCAACAUCCAAGGAAAACCUGUUGUCACGACAAGACAGAUGCUGGAACUAGCAGUUGUUGAAUAUGUUGAUGAAUUGUACAAGUUCUACAAACUUGAAGAGGAUGACUACCGAGUUGGAGAUUACUUGGACAUUGAUCAAGUUUGGGUUGAAUGGGCAAGCAUGCUGUCAAGUUUCAGAUCACUAGUGUUGUAUGUCUGUGGUAGAUCAGUAGUUAGGAAUCAUUUUGUGCAUAUAGCUAGAACUCACUUUGGUGGCUGUAA